Molecule: ribosomal RNA, 492 nt
Filed under: uncultured bacterium
Lineage: Bacteria
Description: partial 16S ribosomal RNA
Rfam family: Bacterial small subunit ribosomal RNA
Source: RNAcentral
AUUGAACGCUGGCGGCAUGCUUUACACAUGCAAGUCGAACGGUAACAGGCCUUCGGGUGCUGACGAGUGGCGAACGGGUGAGUAAUGCAUCGGAACGUGCCCAGAGGUGGGGGAUAACGCAGCGAAAGCUGUGCUAAUACCGCAUGUGAUCUGAGGAUGAAAGCGGGGGACCAGGCAGCAAUGUUUGGCCUCGCGCCUUUGGAGCGGCCGAUGUCAGAUUAGGUAGUUGGUGGGGUAAAGGCCUACCAAGCCGACGAUCUGUAGCUGGUCUGAGAGGACGACCAGCCACACUGGGACUGAGACACGGCCCAGACUCCUACGGGAGGCAGCAGUGGGGAAUUUUGGACAAUGGGCGCAAGCCUGAUCCAGCAAUGCCGCGUGCGGGAAGAAGGCCUUCGGGUUGUAAACCGCUUUUGUACGGAACGAAAAGGCUCUGGCUAAUACCUGGGGCUGAUGACGGUACGGUAAGAAUAAGCACCGGCUAACUACGUG